GAUGAACGCUGGCGGCGUGCCUAAUACAUGCAAGUCGAGCGAACGGACGAGAAGCUUGCUUCUCUGAUGUUAGCGGCGGACGGGUGAGUAACACGUGGAUAACCUACCUAUAAGACUGGGAUAACUUCGGGAAACCGGAGCUAAUACCGGAUAAUAUUUUGAACCGCAUGGUUCAAAAGUGAAAGACGGUCUUGCUGUCACUUAUAGAUGGAUCCGCGCUGCAUUAGCUAGUUGGUAAGGUAACGGCUUACCAAGGCAACGAUGCAUAGCCGACCUGAGAGGGUGAUCGGCCACACUGGAACUGAGACACGGUCCAGACUCCUACGGGAGGCAGCAGUAGGGAAUCUUCCGCAAUGGGCGAAAGCCUGACGGAGCAACGCCGCGUGAGUGAUGAAGGUCUUCGGAUCGUAAAACUCUGUUAUUAGGGAAGAACAUAUGUGUAAGUAACUGUGCACAUCUUGACGGUACCUAAUCAGAAAGCCACGGCUAACUACGUGCCAGCAGCCGCGGUAAUACGUAGGUGGCAAGCGUUAUCCGGAAUUAUUGGGCGUAAAGCGCGCGUAGGCGGUUUUUUAAGUCUGAUGUGAAAGCCCACGGCUCACCCGUGGAGGGUCAUUGGAAACUGGAAAACUUGAGUGCAGAAGAGGAAAGUGGAAUUCCAUGUGUAGCGGUGAAAUGCGCAGAGAUAUGGAGGAACACCAGUGGCGAAGGCGACUUUCUGGUCCGUAACUGACGCUGAUGUGCGAAAGCGUGGGGAUCAAACAGGAUUAGAUACCCUGGUAGUCCACGCCGUAAACGAUGAGUGCUAAGUGUUAGGGGGUUUCCGCCCCUUAGUGCUGCAGCUAACGCAUUAAGCACUCCGCCUGGGGAGUACGACCGCAAGGUUGAAACUCAAAGGAAUUGACGGGGACCCGCACAAGCGGUGGAGCAUGUGGUUUAAUUCGAAGCAACGCGAAGAACCUUACCAAAUCUUGACAUCCUUUGACAACUCUAGAGAUAGAGCUUUCCCCUUCGGGGGACAAAGUGACAGGUGGUGCAUGGUUGUCGUCAGCUCGUGUCGUGAGAUGUUGGGUUAAGUCCCGCAACGAGCGCAACCCUUAAGCUUAGUUGCCAUCAUUAAGUUGGGCACUCUAAGCUGACUGCCGGUGACAAACCGGAGGAAGGUGGGGAUGACGCCAAAUCAUCAUGCCCCUUAUGAUUUGGGCUACACACGUGCUACAAUGGACAAUACAAAGGGCAGCGAAACCGCGAGGUCAAGCAAAUCCCAUAAAGUUGUUCUCAGUUCGGAUUGUAGUCUGCAACUCGACUACAUGAAGCUGGAAUCGCUAGUAAUCGUAGAUCAGCAUGCUACGGUGAAUACGUUCCCGGGUCU
Molecule: ribosomal RNA, 1372 nt
Filed under: uncultured bacterium
Lineage: Bacteria
Description: bacterial SSU rRNA
Rfam family: Bacterial small subunit ribosomal RNA
Source: RNAcentral